RNAcentral lists this ribosomal RNA (217 nucleotides) under Escherichia coli. RNAcentral's name for it is "partial 16S ribosomal RNA". It matches the Rfam family "Bacterial small subunit ribosomal RNA", at positions 1 to 216 of the family's 1533-position model. Lineage: Bacteria; Pseudomonadati; Pseudomonadota; Gammaproteobacteria; Enterobacterales; Enterobacteriaceae. The record is from RNAcentral.
AAAUUGAAGAGUUUGAUCAUGGCUCAGAUUGAACGCUGGCGGCAGGCCUAACACAUGCAAGUCGAACGGUAACAGGAAGCAGCUUGCUGCUUUGCUGACGAGUGGCGGACGGGUGAGUAAUGUCUGGGAAACUGCCUGAUGGAGGGGGAUAACUACUGGAAACGGUAGCUAAUACCGCAUAACGUCGCAAGACCAAAGAGGGGGACCUUAGGGCCUC